AUACGUAGGGUGCGAGCGUUGUCCGGAAUUACUGGGCGUAAAGAGCUCGUAGGUGGUUUGUCGCGUCGUCUGUGAAAUUCCGGGGCUUAACUCCGGGCGUGCAGGCGAUACGGGCAUAACUUGAGUACUGUAGGGGAGACUGGAAUUCCUGGUGUAGCGGUGAAAUGCGCAGAGAUCAGGAGGAACACCGGUGGCGAAGGCGGGUCUCUGGGCAGUAACUGACGCUGAGGAGCGAAAGCAUGGGUAGCGAACAGGAUUAGAUACCCUGGUAGUCCAUGCCGUAAACGGUGGGCGCUAGGUGUAGGGGUCUUCCACGACUUCUGUGCCGUAGCUAACGCAUUAAGCGCCCCGCCUGGGUAGUACGGCCGCAAGGCUAAAACUUAAAGGAAUUGGCGGGG
Molecule: ribosomal RNA, 398 nt
Filed under: uncultured bacterium
Lineage: Bacteria
Description: partial 16S ribosomal RNA
Rfam family: Bacterial small subunit ribosomal RNA
Source: RNAcentral